RNAcentral lists this ribosomal RNA (253 nucleotides) under uncultured bacterium. RNAcentral describes it as "partial 16S ribosomal RNA". It matches the Rfam family "Bacterial small subunit ribosomal RNA", at positions 524 to 776 of the family's 1533-position model. The record is from RNAcentral.
UACAGGGGGUGCAAACGUUGCUCGGAAUUAUUGGGCGUAAAGCGCACGUAGGCGGUUUGUUAUGUCGGAUGUGAAAGCCCUUGGCUCAACUGAGGAAGUGCAUCCGAAACUGGCAAGCUAGAGUAUGUAAGAGGGUCGCGGAAUUCCCGGUGUAGAGGUGAAAUGCGUAGAUAUCGGGAGGAACACCUGUGGCGAAAGCGGCGCACUGGACCACAACUGACGCUGAGGCGCGAAAGCUAGGGGAGCAAACAGG